GGAGUCUGGACCGUGUCUCAGUUCCAGUGUGGGGGACCUUCCUCUCAGAACCCCUAGACAUCGUCGCCUCGGUGGGCCGUUACCCCGCCGACUAGCUAAUGUCACGCGAGCCAAUCCGAUACCGAUAAAUCUAUUAAACAAAAACCAUGCGAUCUCUGUUGUUACGGAGUAUUACGCGACGUUUCCAUCGACUAUCCUCCAGUAUCGGGCAUGUUGCUCACGCGUUACUCACCCUUUCGCCGGUCGCCGGCAUUGUAUUGCUACAACCCGCUGCCCCUCGACUUGCAUGUGUUAAGCCUGCCGCUAGCGUUCAUC
This 315-nucleotide ribosomal RNA is filed under the name uncultured Bacteroidales bacterium. Its description in RNAcentral is "partial 16S ribosomal RNA". The record is from RNAcentral. Lineage: Bacteria; Pseudomonadati; Bacteroidota; Bacteroidia; Bacteroidales.